CCUACGGGCGGCAGCAGUGGGGGAUAUUGCACAAUGGGGGAAACCCUGAUGCAGCGACGCCGCGUGUAGGAAGACGGUCCUCUGGAUUGUAAACUACUGUCCCCAGGGACGAAGAUGACGGUACCUGGGGAGGAAGCUCCGGCUAACUACGUGCCAGCAGCCGCGGUAAUACGUAGGGAGCGAGCGUUGUCCGGAAUUACUGGGGGAAAAGGGAGCGUAGGCGGGGGUGCAAGUUGGGUGUUAAAUCUACCGGCUCAACUGGUAGUCGCACUCAAAACUGCAGCUCUUGAGUGAAGUAGAGGCAGGCGGAAUUCCUAGUGUAGCGGUGAAAUGCGUAGAUAUUAGGAGGAACACCAGUGGCGAAGGCGGCCUGCUGGGCUUUUACUGACGCUGAGGCUCGAAAGUGUGGGGAGCAAACAGGAUUAGAUACCCCUGUAGUC
RNAcentral lists this ribosomal RNA (440 nucleotides) under uncultured bacterium. RNAcentral describes it as "partial 16S ribosomal RNA". It matches the Rfam family "Bacterial small subunit ribosomal RNA", at positions 338 to 795 of the family's 1533-position model. The record is from RNAcentral.